AGGUUACUGCUAUCGAGGUUCGACUAAGCCAUGCGAGUCGAAUGUAGCAAUACAUGGCGUACUGCUCAGUAACACGUGGAUAACCUGCCCUUGAGACGGGGAUAAACCCGGGAAACUGGGUAUAAUACCCGAUAGAUCUCGGCUGCUGGAAUGCACCGAGUUCUAAAGCUCCGGCGCUCAAGGAUGGAUCUGCGGCCUAUCAGGUAGUAGUGGGUGUAGCGUACCUACUAGCCUACGACGGGUACGGGUUGUGAGAGCAAGAGCCCGGAGAUGGAUUCUGAGACACGAAUCCAGGCCCUACGGGGUGCAGCAGGCGCGAAAACUUUACAAUGCUGGAAACAGCGAUAAGGGGACCUCGAGUGCCAGGUUACAAAUCUGGCUGUCGUGAUGCCUAAAAAGCAUUGCAUAGCAAGGGCCGGGCAAGACCGGUGCCAGCCGCCGCGGUAACACCGGCGGCUCGAGUGGUAACCGUUAUUAUUGGGUCUAAAGGGUCUGUAGCCGGCCGGAUAAGCCUCUUGGGAAAUCUGGCAGCUUAACUGUCAGGCUUUCAGGAGAUACUGUCUGGCUCGAGGCCGGGAGAGGUGAGAGGUACUUCAGGGGUAGGGGUGAAAUCUUGUAAUCCUUGAAGGACCACCAGUGGCGAAGGCGUCUCACCAGAACGGACCUGACGGCAAGGGACGAAAGCUAGGGGCACGAACCGGAUUAGAUACCCGGGUAGUCCUAGCCGUAAACGAUACUCGCUAGGUGUCGGCCACGGUGCGACCGUUGUCGGUGCCGUAGGGAAGCCGUGAAGCGAGCCACCUGGGAAGUACGGCCGCAAGGCUGAAACUUAAAGGAAUUGGCGGGGG
This 848-nucleotide ribosomal RNA is filed under the name uncultured archaeon. RNAcentral describes it as "bacterial SSU rRNA". It matches the Rfam family "Archaeal small subunit ribosomal RNA", at positions 21 to 874 of the family's 1478-position model. The record is from RNAcentral.